CAGCAGCCGCGGGAAUACAGAGGGUGCGAGCGUUAAUCGGAUUUACUGGGCGUAAAGCGUGCGUAGGUGGUGGUUUAAGUCCGUUGUGAAAGCCCUGGGCUCAACCUGGGAAUUGCAGUGGAUACUGGGUCACUAGAGUGUGGUAGAGGAUAGUGGAAUUUCCGGUGUAGCAGUGAAAUGCGUAGAGAUCGGAAGGAACAUCUGUGGCGAAGGCGACUAUCUGGGCCAACACUGACACUGAGGCACGAAAGCGUGGGGAGCAAACAGGAUUAGAUACCCCUGUAGUCCCUGUCUCUUAUAU
Molecule: ribosomal RNA, 301 nt
Filed under: uncultured bacterium
Lineage: Bacteria
Description: partial 16S ribosomal RNA
Rfam family: Bacterial small subunit ribosomal RNA
Source: RNAcentral